UACGGAGGGUGCGAGCGUUAAUCGGAAUUACUGGGCGUAAAGGGCUCGUAGGCGGCCAACUAAGUCGGACGUGAAAUCCCCAGGCUCAACCUGGGAACUGCGUCCGAUACUGGAUGGCUUGAAUUCGGGAGAGGGAUGCAGAAUUCCAGGUGUAGCGGUGAAAUGCGUAGAUAUCUGGAGGAAUACCGGUGGCGAAGGCGGCAUCCUGGACCGACAUUGACGCUGAGGAGCGAAAGCUAGGGGAGUAAACGGGAUUAGAUACCCUAGUAGU
This 271-nucleotide ribosomal RNA is filed under the name uncultured bacterium. RNAcentral's name for it is "partial 16S ribosomal RNA". It matches the Rfam family "Bacterial small subunit ribosomal RNA", at positions 524 to 794 of the family's 1533-position model. The record is from RNAcentral.